RNAcentral lists this ribosomal RNA (413 nucleotides) under uncultured prokaryote. Its description in RNAcentral is "bacterial SSU rRNA". It matches the Rfam family "Bacterial small subunit ribosomal RNA", at positions 505 to 918 of the family's 1533-position model. The record is from RNAcentral.
GUGCCAGCCGCCGCGGUAAUACGGAGGGGGUUAGCGUUGUUCGGAAUUACUGGGCGUAAAGCGCACGUAGGCGGAUUGGAAAGUUGGGGGUGAAAUCCCGGGGCUCAACCCCGGAACUGCCUCCAAAACUCCCAGUCUAGAGUUCGAGAGAGGUGAGUGGAAUUCCGAGUGUAGAGGUGAAAUUCGUAGAUAUUCGGAGGAACACCAGUGGCGAAGGCGGCUCACUGGCUCGAUACUGACGCUGAGGUGCGAAAGUGUGGGGAGCAAACAGGAUUAGAUACCCUGGUAGUCCACACCGUAAACGAUGAAUGCCAGACGUCGGGUAGCAUGCUAUUCGGUGUCGCACCUAACGGAUUAAGCAUUCCGCCUGGGGAGUACGGCCGCAAGGUUAAAACUUAAAUGAAUUGACGGGG